Molecule: ribosomal RNA, 434 nt
Filed under: Salmonella enterica subsp. enterica serovar Oranienburg
Lineage: Bacteria; Pseudomonadati; Pseudomonadota; Gammaproteobacteria; Enterobacterales; Enterobacteriaceae
Also listed under: 2 other names
Description: bacterial SSU rRNA
Rfam family: Bacterial small subunit ribosomal RNA
Source: RNAcentral
UUAAAUUGAAGAGUUUGAUCAUGGCUCAGAUUGAACGCUGGCGGCAGGCCUAACACAUGCAAGUCGAACGGUAACAGGAAGCAGCUUGCUGCUUUGCUGACGAGUGGCGGACGGGUGAGUAAUGUCUGGGAAACUGCCUGAUGGAGGGGGAUAACUACUGGAAACGGUGGCUAAUACCGCAUAAUGUCGCAAGACCAAAGAGGGGGACCUUCGGGCCUCUUGCCAUCAGAUGUGCCCAGAUGGGAUUAGCUUGUUGGUGAGGUAACGGCUCACCAAGGCGACGAUCCCUAGCUGGUCUGAGAGGAUGACCAGCCACACUGGAACUGAGACACGGUCCAGACUCCUACGGGAGGCAGCAGUGGGGAAUAUUGCACAAUGGGCGCAAGCCUGAUGCAGCCAUGCCGCGUGUAUGAAGAAGGCCUUCGGGUUGUAAA